This is a long non-coding RNA of Hibiscus syriacus, 139 nucleotides long. RefSeq lists it as uncharacterized. The transcript is spliced from 3 exons. NCBI's taxonomy places the organism in Eukaryota, Viridiplantae, Streptophyta, Magnoliopsida, Malvales, Malvaceae. The record is from RefSeq and is a predicted model, not a curated record.
UCCUCAUCAAUAUCAUCAGGCACAUUAUAGCUUCGGCCUAAAGUCUCUUGAAUUUCAUUACUCAUAUCCAUCAUAUCCAUCAUUUCAUCUUGCAAGUUCUACAAGUAAAAAUAAGAAAAUAUCACUAGAAAAUAAAUAC